GGGUCAGUAGGUUGGUCGUGCCACCGGUACGUACUGGUCUCACUGAUUCCUCCUUCCUGAAGAACCGUAAUGCCAUUAAUUUGGUGUUGCGGGGAAACAGGACUGCUACUUUGAAAAAAUUAGAGUGUUUAGGGCAAGCUAACGCUUGAAUACAUUAGCAUGGAAUAAUGAAAUAGGACGAUCGAUCCUAUUUUGUUGGUUUCUAGGAUUGACGUA
This 216-nucleotide ribosomal RNA is filed under the name Glomeromycotina sp. RNAcentral's name for it is "partial small subunit ribosomal RNA". The stretch from base 40 to 216 matches the Rfam family "Eukaryotic small subunit ribosomal RNA", at positions 686 to 864 of the family's 1831-position model. The record is from RNAcentral. Lineage: Eukaryota; Fungi; Glomeromycota.